ACCUGAAACCGUGUGCUUACAAGUAGUCAGAGCCCGUUAAUGGGUGAUGGCGUGCCUUUUGUAGAAUGAACCGGCGAGUUACGAUUUGAUGCAAGGUUAAGCAGUAAAUGUGGAGCCGUAGCGAAAGCGAGUCUGAAUAGGGCGUUUAGUAUUUGGUCGUAGACCCGAAACCAGGUGAUCUACCCUUGGUCAGGUUGAAGUUCAGGUAACACUGAAUGGAGGACCGAACCGACUUACGUUGAAAAGUGAGCGGAUGAACUGAGGGUAGCGGAGAAAUUCCAAUCGAACCUGGAGAUAGCUGGUUCUCUCCGAAAUAGCUUUAGGGCUAGCCUCAAGUGAUGAUUAUUGGAGGUAGAGCACUGUUUGGACGAGGGGCCCCUCUCGGGUUACCGAAUUCAGACAAACUCCGAAUGCCAAUUAAUUUAACUUGGGAGUCAGAACAUGGGUGAUAAGGUCCGUGUUCGAAAGGGAAACAGCCCAGACCACCAGCUAAGGUCCCAAAAUAUAUGUUAAGUGGAAAAGGAUGUGGCGUUGCCCAGACAACUAGGAUGUUGGCUUAGAAGCAGCCAUCAUUUAAAGAGUGCGUAAUAGCUCACUAGUCGAGUGACACUGCGCCGAAAAUGUACCGGGGCUAAACAUAUUACCGAAGCUGUGGAUUGUCCUUUGGACAAUGGUAGGAGAGCGUUCUAAGGGCGUUGAAGCAUGAUCGUAAGGACAUGUGGAGCGCUUAGAAGUGAGAAUGCCGGUGUGAGUAGCGAAAGACGGGUGAGAAUCCCGUCCACCGAUUGACUAAGGUUUCCAGAGGAAGGCUCGUCCGCUCUGGGUUAGUCGGGUCCUAAGCUGAGGCCGACAGGCGUAGGCGAUGGAUAACAGGUUGAUAUUCCUGUACCACCUAUAAUCGUUUUAAUCGAUGGGGGGACGCAGUAGGAUAGGCGAAGCGUGCGAUUGGAUUGCACGUCUAAGCAGUAAGGCUGAGUAUUAGGCAAAUCCGGUACUCAUUAAGGCUGAGCUGUGAUGGGGAGAAGACAUUGUGUCUUCGAGUCGUUGAUUUCACACUGCCGAGAAAAGCCUCUAGAUAGAAAAUAGGUGCCCGUACCGCAAACCGACACAGGUAGUCAAGAUGAGAAUUCUAAGGUGAGCGAGCGAACUCUCGUUAAGGAACUCGGCAAAAUGACCCCGUAACUUCGGGAGAAGGGGUGCUCUUUAGGGUUAACGCCCAGAAGAGCCGCAGUGAAUAGGCCCAAGCGACUGUUUAUCAAAAACACAGGUCUCUGCUAAACCGUAAGGUGAUGUAUAGGGGCUGACGCCUGCCCGGUGCUGGAAGGUUAAGAGGAGUGGUUAGCUUCUGCGAAGCUACGAAUCGAAGCCCCAGUAAACGGCGGCCGUAACUAUAACGGUCCUAAGGUAGCGAAAUUCCUUGUCGGGUAAGUUCCGACCCGCACGAAAGGCGUAACGAUUUGGGCACUGUCUCAACGAGAGACUCGGUGAAAUCAUAGUACCUGUGAAGAUGCAGGUUACCCGCGACAGGACGGAAAGACCCCGUGGAGCUUUACUGUAGCCUGAUAUUGAAAUUCGGCACAGCUUGUACAGGAUAGGUAGGAGCCUUUGAAACGUGAGCGCUAGCUUACGUGGAGGCGCUGGUGGGAUACUACCCUAGCUGUGUUGGCUUUCUAACCCGCACCACUUAUCGUGGUGGGAGACAGUGUCAGGCGGGCAGUUUGACUGGGGCGGUCGCCUCCUAAAAGGUAACGGAGGCGCUCAAAGGUUCCCUCAGAAUGGUUGGAAAUCAUUCAUAGAGUGUAAAGGCAUAAGGGAGCUUGACUGCGAGACCUACAAGUCGAGCAGGGUCGAAAGACGGACUUAGUGAUCCGGUGGUUCCGCAUGGAAGGGCCAUCGCUCAACGGAUAAAAGCUACCCCGGGGAUAACAGGCUUAUCUCCCCCAAGAGUUCACAUCGACGGGGAGGUUUGGCACCUCGAUGUCGGCUCAUCGCAUCCUGGGGCUGUAGUCGGUCCCAAGGGUUGGGCUGUUCGCCCAUUAAAGCGGUACGCGAGCUGGGUUCAGAACGUCGUGAGACAGUUCGGUCCCUAUCCGUCGUGGGCGUAGGAAAUUUGAGAGGAGCUGUCCUUAGUACGAGAGGACCGGGAUGGACAUACCUCUGGUGUACCAGUUGUCGUGCCAACGGCAUAGCUGGGUAGCUAUGUGUGGACGGGAUAAGUGCUGAAAGCAUCUAAGCAUGAAGCCCCCCUCAAGAUGAGAUUUCCCAACUUCGGUUAUAAGAUCCCUCAAAGAUGAUGAGGUUAAUAGGUUCGAGGUGGAAGCAUGGUGACAUGUGGAGCUGACGAAUACUAAUCGAUCGAAGACUUAAUCAA
Molecule: ribosomal RNA, 2371 nt
Filed under: Staphylococcus aureus FP_N5203 OX
Lineage: Bacteria; Bacillati; Bacillota; Bacilli; Caryophanales; Staphylococcaceae
Description: bacterial LSU rRNA
Rfam family: Bacterial large subunit ribosomal RNA
Source: RNAcentral